UGGCGCACGGGUGCGUAACGCGUGGGAACCUGCCCUUAGGUUCGGAAUAACAGUUAGAAAUGACUGCUAAUACCGGAUAAUGUCUUCGGACCAAAGAUUUAUCGCCUUUGGAUGGGCCCGCGUUGGAUUAGAUAGUUGGUGGGGUAAUGGCCUACCAAGUCGACGAUCCAUAGCUGGUCUGAGAGGAUGAUCAGCCACACUGGGACUGAGACACGGCCCAGACUCCUACGGGAGGCAGCAGUGGGGAAUAUUGGACAAUGGGCGAAAGCCUGAUCCAGCAAUGCCGCGUGAGUGAUGAAGGCCUUAGGGUUGUAAAGCUCUUUUACCAGGGAUGAUAAUGACAGUACCUGGAGAAUAAGCUCCGGCUAACUCCGUGCCAGCAGCCGCGGUAAUACGGAGGGAGCUAGCGUUGUUCGGAAUUACUGGGCGUAAAGCGCACGUAGGCGGCUUUUCAAGUCAGGGGUGAAAUCCCGGGGCUCAACCCCGGAACUGCCCUUGAAACUGGAUGGCUAGAAUACUGGAGAGGUGAGUGGAAUUCCGAGUGUAGAGGUGAAAUUCGUAGAUAUUCGGAAGAACACCAGUGGCGAAGGCGACUCACU
Molecule: ribosomal RNA, 599 nt
Filed under: Qipengyuania pelagi
Lineage: Bacteria; Pseudomonadati; Pseudomonadota; Alphaproteobacteria; Sphingomonadales; Erythrobacteraceae
Description: bacterial SSU rRNA
Rfam family: Bacterial small subunit ribosomal RNA
Source: RNAcentral